AUAGUUGUUUCACAAAUCAUGAUAAAAGUAUUAAACGAAAAACCUAACUCUACAAAUUUGUAAAUUUGAUUUGAUAAUCUUCAAUUAUUCGUGUUAUCUUUCCAGUGGUGAUCACGACAUGGUCAUACCUUAUAUUGGUACUUUAAAAUGGAUUCGUGGCCUCAAUCUAGCCAUAGAUGACGAGUGGAGACCUUGGAAUGUUAAUGACCAAGUUGCAGGGUUGGUUUCCAAUUCUUUAUCACUUCCAUUCACACAAAUGUAUAUUGAAUCUUAAUAUUAAUCUCAAAAUCUCAUUUACAUUUUACUUUGUAGAUACACAAGGAAAUAUAAGAAGAAUGACUUCUAUCUAACAUUUGUGACGGUGAAGGUAAGAAAAUUUCACUAUGCUCUUUCUCAUAGUGAUUGACGGAAAAGGAAGUAAACAUUUGUUAUAUAUUACAGGGUGCAGGUCAUACAGCUCCUGAAUAUAACCCUGAACAAUGUCUUGCAAUGCUCGACCGAUGGCUAUCUUUAUAUCCUUUAUAGGUUUGGGUUGAUGGCGAAAUUUUAUGGUUCAUCCAUUACACCUUUUUAACACUGUAUUGUCAAUAUAUAUUCUGUAAUUGUUAAUUUAGCUAAUAAAACCAAAUGUAGUAUGACAAUCAUAAAGAAAUCUAUUAUAAAUGAUUGAAUAUAAAAGAAAAGAUGAUUUUAACCUAAUUUCAAUCAUAUUUAGCUUUAUAGAAUCUUUUUCUUUCUUUGAAACAAUAUCAAUACUUACAUUUUAAUCAAAGCCCCACAAACCACAGACCUAAACUACACAGUAAAAUUAACUCAAAGAAAUAAACUCCUUUACUAGGUCCCAUAUGAAGCCAAAUCGAGGGUCACUUUAUUCCCAUCUUAAGAAUAAAGCGACACGAACCACAAUUAAGAUUACAUAGAGAAGCAAAAAAACAUCUAAUACAAUAACUCCAAAUUAGGAAUGGCAAUAUUCCAUGACCUUUACUCGCUCUGCAUUACCCCAUCCCAUAUAGGGGUGUGAACAAGGUCUCUAUCUCAAAUUCACAAAAUUCGCCAUGAAUCUUUUUAUUCUGCUUAAUUUUUAUUUUCCAAUUUAGAUUGCAUUUAAAAAUUAAGUAAAUAAUAAAUAAAUAAUUAGUUAAAAAAUCAUAUCAGGGAUUUUAUUUUUCGUUGAAAAUAUACUGACAAAGGUUUCAACAAACGACUCUCCAACUGCUUUAUCAUGGGAACUGGUCGUUUCCGAACAGAUUUGGCUUCACAACUGACCAUGAUUGGAGGAGAGGCGCAUAAGGGGAAAUGGAAAAAAUGGACUUUUUUUUAAUCGAAACCGAUGAUAUGAUUAUCACUUUAACCAAAAUUUUUGAUUUCAUGCUUAAAGCUUAAUACAUUAACUACAAUUUUUGAAGAUUCACUUGCCACAAAAAUUAGAAGUUGAAGACCUAUUUAUGAAUAGAUGAAAACUCUAUGAAACCUAAGUGCUCAUUGAAGUACAUAUAUUCCGUUUGUGUUAUACUUUUAGCGUUAAUCAAAUUAGAUGCUUGAAUUAAAAUAAGUGUUUUUAAGCAUUUGAUUUCCUAAGAUUUCUUCUUGUCAUCUCGAGGUCUUAUUAACUUCCCCAACGUAUUUACAUGGGCUAAUCCUCCGUCGAAAAGGUCUAUUGUUCAGUAAAAAAAAUAAUUUAUCUAGCAUUAAUGGUACUACAACAUAGGUUUAGGUGAUGAAAGAUAGUAUUAAGUGAUUCAUUUAACUAUACACCUCGGUUCAUGUCACAUUAGUGCUACUUAAACUAAUAGUUUAACACCAGUGUUAGUAAAUACCAUUACUUGUUAAAAAAAAAUGGUGAACCUAAUACAUCGCUGAAAUUGGAACGGACUGAUCUUGAAUUAAUUGAAAACUUGUCAAGGGUACUUGCACCUACCUUGUCUUUUAUGGAAGAAAAAUUACUGUGGGAUGGACAAUUCUUGGGAUAAAAUAGUUGUAAUGAUUUCAAUAUCUUAAAAAGCGUGCCAUGUAAGUUAUAGUAGUCAAGCAAAGACAGCAACUCAUGGCUGAGUAUUGCUACACGAACAGGGUAAGUCUUUCAGCGUUAAUGUUCAUGGCUGGAUCUAUCUCAAGUGCUAGCAAAAAUAUUAUAUACUACACUGACAAGCAGAAGUUGUCAGAGUCUCCACACAGUUAGCAAAAUAAAAGUUGCACAGUAACUUGAACAGAAGCAUGUGACAUUAACAGUGGAAGUUUGAGACCUUACUUCUUUGUUUAAUCUUAUUUCUUCAAUAGUGCAUUGACAUUAUUAUGAUUUUACUAGGUUGUCCUGAAUUUGGUGCAGAAUAUAUAGAACCUGUCCAUUAGUAGGGGCGAAUCCAAGGGUUGAGUUUAGCUAGGGCGGACCGCAAGCGUCGAAAGCUUACUAUCGACAGCCAACAUACGUGACAACAGGGUUGUUUACUAAUAUUUAAAUAAAUAAUAUUCCAAAAAUCAUACAGAUUAGAACUAGAAGAACUGAUACACAAUUAGAAUUAGAACUAGGUACGAACUUUCAUUUUGGAUAAAAAAUUGUUCCAUAAUAUGCAAAAUGCCCAAAUUUAUUUUUCAAUUAAAUAGGCAAUAUAUAUUAACAAAAUGCCAUUAUUCAGUUUACAAUUAAAGUUAAUUAAACAAGCAUUAUUAUGUUAACAAAAUUGAGAUUAUUUAUGUACUUAUAUCAAUUUUAUGUACUUGUAUGAUUCCACUUUUUCGCAAUCGAUUUAUUGUAAACGAAAAGUGAAAUCUUUCAUUAAUUAAACAAGUUUUGUUGAAAGAUUUCUUAUGACACUAAGGCCAAUUUUCCUAUGAAUUCAUCCACCAUUAAUUGACCAAACUCUCAAAUCAGUUGAUUAGAGGGACAAAAAAAAGAAAAAAAAAAAGCAAGAAGAGAGACAAAGCACUGGUUAAAAUGUUUCUACUUGCAUUAAACCGGUAAAAUUGAACAUAUAUUAAUUUGUUACAUUAUGUUAUAAAAAAUCAAUGAAUGUCGUGAUGGUGAAGUGGUCAAUAUGUNNNNNNNNNNNNNNNNNNNNNNNNNNNNNNNNNNNNNNNNNNNNNNNNNNNNNNNNNNNNNNNNNNNNNNNNNNNNNNNNNNNNNNNNNNNNNNNNNNNNNNNNNNNNNNNNNNNNNNNNNNNNNNNNNNNNNNNNNNNNNNNNNNNNNNNNNNNNNNNNNNNNNNNNNNNNNNNNNNNNNNNNNNNNNNNNNNNNNNNNNNNNNNNNNNNNNNNNNNNNNNNNNNNNNNNNNNNNNNNNNNNNNNNNNNNNNNNNNNNNNNNNNNNNNNNNNNNNNNNNNNNNNNNNNNNNNNNNNNNNNNNNNNNNNNNNNNNNNNNNNNNNNNNNNNNNNNNNNNNNNNNNNNNNNNNNNNNNNNNNNNNNNNNNNNNNNNNNNNNNNNNNNNNNNNNNNNNNNNNNNNNNNNNNNNNNNNNNNNNNNNNNNNNNNNNNNNNNNNNNNNNNNNNNNNNNNNNNNNNNNNNNNNNNNNNNNNNNNNNNNNNNNNNNNNNNNNNNNNNNNNNNNNNNNNNNNNNNNNNNNNNNNNNNNNNNNNNNNNNNNNNNNNNNNNNNNNNNNNNNNNNNNNNNNNNNNNNNNNNNNNNNNNNNNNNNNNNNNNNNNNNNNNNNNNNNNNNNNNNNNNNNNNNNNNNNNNNNNNNNNNNNNNNNNNNNNNNNNNNNNNNNNNNNNNNNNNNNNNNNNNNNNNNNNNNNNNNNNNNNNNNNNNNNNNNNNNNNNNNNNNNNNNNNNNNNNNNNNNNNNNNNNNNNNNNNNNNNNNNNNNNNNNNNNNNNNNNNNNNNNNNNNNNNNNNNNNNNNNNNNNNNNNNNNNNNNNNNNNNNNNNNNNNNNNNNNNNNNNNNNNNNNNNNNNNNNNNNNNNNNNNNNNNNNNNNNNNNNNNNNNNNNNNNNNNNNNNNNNNNNNNNNNNNNNNNNNNNNNNNNNUAAUACCUAAACAUCUCUAACUAUAAAUACCUAAGCCUUACAAGUUUUUCAGUAGUGGUUGUCUGUUGUGCCUCUCUUGCAAAACAAAUUCAUAUCAUUGUUUGAAGAUCCAAGAAUAUAUUCAAAACUUGAUUCAAUCCAUUCAUUCUUGAGAUCCUACAACAAUAGUUUGUGAAAACAUCAAAUCCUCAAAUUCAAAACACAUGACUUCCCUAAUACUUUAAGAAAAACCAAAAACUAUCACGAAUGCUCUACUAUUUAGUGUGUGUCAACUAAACUUUAUACUUAUUAGGUAAUAGUUAUUAUAAACAUGAUGCACCUUAGAGCUUCAUUAUAAUGGAGAAUAAAAUAGAGGAAAGAGUAAGCAUCACUUUGCUUGUUUUAUUAAUUAUUCGGUCAAAAACUAUAGAGAUUUAAGGAAACUACAAGGAUUUAAGGAAGCUAUUGUACCGUAUGUAUAUAAUAGGUUUACAUAAUGGUUUGCAUACAUAUGAUGUAGUGAGAUGUGAUUGGAUCAAAGUUUCUUCAAUUAAAUAAAAAAAACUUUCUCAUUCUCUUUUCGACACCUCAUCUGUAAAAUGAAUCUGUAGAAAUCUAUAAAACGCCAAUUUUUCACAAUAAAUAAUGUGUAGAAUAUAGAAGAAGCAACAACACUUUGAACCAUGUUAUAACAGAUUUCUUUCUUCUCCCUUUUCAUUUGCAGACUGUCAAUGUUAUAUUCAUUUAAAUCAUAAAACUAAAAACCUACAUAAAGAUUUUGAAUGGCCCAUUAGAAUUAAAUGAUGGAAUUUGGCUGUGAAAUUUAGUGUAAAAAGUUGAAAUAUAUGUACAAUUCUGAACCUGAAGAGAGACGAUAGUAAUGGAUUUGAUUAGAUUUGAUUCUAUGACUCACAUCCUAAAUAAAAUCAAUUUUAGAAAAAAAAUUCAAAUUUUUUUGUAGGGUGACUUGAAGCCACAUGACCCCGUAUGGGUCUACCCGUUAUACUUCACACCAAUGGUGCUAAAGAGCAUUAGUUUCAUUAAAAUCGAUUGACUAUUCAUUGAUGUCCUUCAUAACCACGAAUUCUUGAAAAUGAACACAUAUUUCAUCCUCCAAAGAAUAGUCAACACGAAGCUUUGAUACGAAAAGCCUCUAAUAAGCAAAGCAUAUGACCAACUUUUCGCAUAUCGAAAAUAACCACCUCAAUAUAUUUAUCAUCCAAGUCAUAGAAGUUAAAAUCUUUAUCUUUCGAAGCAUUGUUAACAGCAUAAGUAGAAAAGUUAAAAAUAAGUAAACUAGUAAUACAAUUAAUCGCUUGUCUAGUUUCGCUUUUUCUUCAAAAAUCGAUUCUUGCAAGGGAUGUGGACCUCUUUGCAAUUAAAUAUAUGUCGUGCAAAAAAGAUAAACUAUGGGAAUGAAUAAAGCAGCCGCCUCAUCAAAUGUUACUGUUGUUGGAAAAUAAAACAGAUGGAGGUAAUAUAUAUGAUAUGAUAUGAAGUAUAUGAUUGCACAAAAAAAUGGUAAAAGGCAAAUAAUUAAUUGACAGAGGAACGGAGUAUUUUAUUUAAUUGAUGAAUAUGAAGGAAACAAAUACAAUAAUUGUGCCUACAUAAUUACUCUAUAUUUCAAUAAUACAAAACUUACGAAAAGAGUCUAGUGUUUAUAGGGGAGCGUGCCAAACCCUAGAAAUACCACAAAGAUGAAAACAAGAUAAAAAAUUACGCGCAAUAAAGAAAACAAUAUUCUUCAAAUAAAAGCGCGUAUAAUAAAGAAAAAAAAUUUUCCCCAAAAAUCCAAACUAAUUUGGGUCAAAAAACCCAACAAUCUCCAUAUUGACACAAAUUUUAAUGCAAUGAACGAAGCUCCGAAAUUUCUCAACCUAAAAAAAAAAAAUCUAACUGCAACAAAAAGUCGAACUCUUCAACAAGAACCGAACUUUCUCCAACAUAAAAAUACCCAUCUUCUUCCUAGUAUCCAACACUAAUACAUAAACCUAAACACCGGGUUAUAUCAAAAUUUACAAAGGAUUAGAAAUUACCAAAUAGUAUCAAAACACACACUGUAACAGAAUCAACUCCCAAUGUUUUUAAUAAAUGCCCCUGGCUAGUCUCAAUACCUUCAAAAACACUAAAGCAUAUACAACCGAAUCAGCAUUCACAUACCCAUCUCUAAUAGGACUAUACUUAGCAGUUGAAUACGAUGGAACCGUGGGUAAUGGUGGCAAAGUGGAAUUACUCAUAUCCUCCAAACUUGACUAAGUAGUAUUUUUUAAUAAGGACCCCGAACAAAAUCCCAAAGGUAGAGUACGAAAAUGAAUCUCCACCAUGGUACUAAAUUUUGUGCUGACUUUUCUUGACAAGUUCCCCCAACCUUUCAAGAUGUAUAAUUGGGACCUCUUUUGCUCCUAUAACACAACAUGAACACCCUUCCAAACCCUCAAGACUCUACCUCCUCUAAAGAAUGCGUGCCCUUUUGAAUAAAGAGUACUCAACAAAAUGAGAUUCUUCUUCAAGUUGGAAUAUAUCAAACGUGAUCAAGUAAUUCACAUUUUCCAUCCACUAGCUUCAAUCUUACCUACAAAUACCAGCUACUUGACAAAGUUUGUUGUUAUGUGUAACAACGAUAUCUUGCGUCACUAUUUCGUAUGUUUCAAAAAAAUCCCGAUUUUCGGACACAUAUGAAACGCAUAUGCUGUAUCCAAAAUCCAUUCUUCGUAAGUUUGGAUUACAUGUCAGAAAUCGUCAAAACAUCUCAUUCACUCAAAUAGUUCUCAGCUAUGUUGGUUCCGUCUAAAGUAUUUGAUAGCUUUCCAAGAUUUGCAGUCAAAUUACCUUUGUUCUACAAUUUGUCGCAACCUCUCUUAAUGUGUCUUUUCUUCUUAUAAUAAUAACAAAUCUGAUUACUGAAAUUUGACAUUGACUUACCCCUUCUUUGAUCACUAUGAACAACAAGGCCUUCUCCAUCUUGGGCCUUAGAUCUAUCCAGAUGCUUCAUCUUCUUUUUUGAAAACAAGGUAUCGUACGCAUCUACAAUGAGGAGCGUACCACAACAAUACAAGAUUGUGUCUCUAAACGAAGUAAAUGAAGCGGGCAACGAGCACAAAUGGAUUAAGGCCAAACUUCUUCAUCAUAUUUUACCCCUAAAAUUUUCAAAUCAAUGACAAUUUCCUUGGACACGGCUAGAUGAUAUUCCAGAUAUCCACCUUCUGUCCCGCGAUGAGAAUACCUCCUUUGCAUUAGACACAAUUUGCUUGUCAACUUUUAGUCAUGCACAAUUGCUCCAACUUCAACCACAAUGCAGUUGCCAUUUUUUCCUUCAAAACGUCCUGAAAAUUAUUGUUAGAAAGAUAAAAUGAAUCUGUGAAGUGCCUUUCGAUCCUUCCAUUCUUUCUCUUCCAUCGUUCAAGUUGUAGGCAUUUUUGUCAAAUCCCAACAACUCAUCAUCUAAAGCUCAUAUCUUUACUUGUUACAGCGAUAAUCUUUUAUUGCAAUUCAAGAGCGAAAUUUCAUACUUUAUUGCUGCCAUCAAUAACAAAAACCUCCAAAAAUCACAACCAAUAGCUCUAAUACCACUUAUUGGGAAAUAAAAGGGAUGGAGGUAAUAUAUAUGAUACAAUAUGAAGUAUAUGUUCGCAAACAAACAAUAAGAUAAAAGGAAAAUAAUUAAUUGGCAGUGAAAUGGAGUAUUUUAUUCAAUUGACGAAUAUGAAGAAAAUAAAAACAAUAAUUGUGCCUAAACAAUUAUUCUAUAUUUCAAUAAUACAAAAUUUGUGAAAAGAGUUUAGUAUUUAUAGAAGAGCAUAUCAAACCCUAAAAAUAUCACAAAGAUGAAAAUAAGAUAAAAAUAAUGUGGAAUAAAUGAAACAAUAUUUUUCCAAUAAAAGCACGUGCAAUAAAGGAAAAAAAUAUUUUCCCUAAUAAUCCAACCUAAUUUGGGUCAAAAAACCCAAUAGAUAUUUUGUGCAAAGACCAUUUUGUCCUAUUUCAAAGAUCCAGUUGAAAACAUAUUAGAACUAUACACUCACAAUGCACUACUGUGUAAUGGGCUCUAGUUACACCACAUUUCACGUGAGGUUUAGGCGAUUUAUUGGCAGGGUUAAAAAUGUAUUUAAGCAAGCUAGGGGAAGGGUACAGCCUUUGAAUCGGUCUCAUUUUUUGGCCAGAAUUUUUAAUUCAAAUUCUCCGUUUCAAACUAUUAUCAUUGGUAAUAAAAACCACAUAAAUUCUAAAUCUAGUUCAAGACCAAAUAAUCAAUACAUAUUUUAGAAAACAUGAAUUUUUCAAUAAUAAUUUUAAAACAAUAAGAAAUUAAGUCUUCAAAAUCAACUAAAAGAACAGUAGAAAAAAAUGUCUUUAAUAUUGGUUAUUUAUUUAUUUAUUUACAUAACAAUAAAAUUGGGAUGUCCAAUCAAAAACAUUCAGUGCAAUCUCAAGUUAUUAUUUUUGGUUUCUUAAUUUCUUAGUGAUGACUUUGCGAUUCAUCUGGCAAAAAUGCUCCUACGACUUUAACUCCCCGUUUUUGUAAAUAAUGGUUCAGCUUAAUUAUCACAGAAUUCAAUCUAUAGUUACAUGGUUCGGAACUCCAUAAUUUCCCAAAAUACAAAAAUUGGUUCUAAAAUUUGGAUGGUUAAGUCUGAUUUUGGUGUGGGGAAAAAAGUUCCGUUUUAUAAUUAUUGAUGUAUAAACGAAAAAUAAUGUCUAAUGGCAUACCAUAUCAUUUUACUAUUAUUAAGACUAAUAGUUCUACAAUUUUUAAAGUAUCAUCAAAUUCUCCGUGAGAUUUUUAAACUCCACAAGGCGGAAGCGUUAGAAUUUCCCAAAAUGAAGAAAAUGAUAUGUAGUAGUUCUGUAUUAUUAUUAUUAUUUUUUUUUUAACGAGGUGUCCCAAUUUGCGCCAGACUAUAUCCUCGUCCCUGAACUUCCAGCCCCUCAGCUGCUCGGGGAGGUAAAUCGCAGGUUGUGCCCUUGUUGGUUCCCACAUGGCUUUUACUCCUUCCCCAAAGUGUAGUAGUUCUGUAUUAGUACAUAUGAAGAGCAGACCAAGACAAAAAGGCUGGCAUAGAGGAUGACGAUCACACUAUAUUAUGCCCUUGUUUGAGCUCCAUUUUUUUGGAUAGAAUGAAUUUUUGAACAGUGUAUUGAUGGAAAAUGUAUAGUUAAAAAAUAAGGAAAAGUUUUAAAUUUACAUGCAAUAUUAUUUUAUUGAAGACUGUGUGAUUGAAAUGAUGUCAAAACACUGUUAAAAAAAUGAAUUUUUGCAAAAGAAUGAGGUUCAAACGAGGGCAUCCUUGUCACCGUCCACAGGUUUUUUUUUUUUUUUUAAUAUGAAGGACAAAAAAAGAUUCCAAUAUUCAAACUUUUCCCAUUGUAGUAAACUCUCUCAUCAAUUUCAAACAGGAAAGUUUAUCUCAGAUCUAUGCCAUUUUCGAAAAACACAGUAAAACACAUAUUUCUGCAGUUCAAUUUCUAGGCUUAUUAUUAUGAAGUUGAUAAGGUUUGAUGCACUUCUUCUUCUGCUUCAGCUCCUCUUUAGCAAGGCAGCAUCAGAGUUCAAUAUAGAGACUCUUCCGGGUUAUUCGGGUACUCUUCCUGUCAAACUCGAAACAGGGUGUGUUUCUUUCAUUCUUUAACAACUUCCUUUUGACUUUUAAUUCCAGAAACUGAAUAACUUUUUUAUAAAUUUGGAUGAUUAGAUAUAUUGAUGUGGGAGAAACUGAAGAAGUGCAACUAUUCUACUACUUCGUCGAGUCCGAAAGCAAUCCUAAAACGGACCCUAUUCUGCUUUGGCUCACGGGUGGACCUGGUUGCUCUGCUCUCUCCGGCCUCUUUUAUGAAAUCGGUACUCUCUAUAUAUGUGUGUGUGUUAUUAUUUUCUUUUAGUAAAUGCGACUUAUACAUAUUCAGGGAGUUACACCUUUCCUAUGAAUAAACGAGAGAGAUGUGUAUUAUUAUUUUCUUUUAGUAAGGACUUAUAUAUAUUCAGGGAAUUACACCUUUCCUAUGAAUAAACGAGAGAGAUAUGUGUGUGUGCACUAUGCAAAUGAUGAGUAGCAGCCAGCAAAAUAUGGAAAGCGAUUCGCUUUAUUCAAAUUGAUCUUACGAAAGAUCUGCAAUUGCUCAGUACCGUAAAUAAGUAAUAUAGUGAUAAGUGGAAUGAUUUCACCGAAUUUCUGACUCAAAAUUUUUGCAAUAAUUUUACAAAUGAUGAGAAAACCGGUUCCUAUAUCCGGUGUGAGUUCGCUAAUUUAAUGGAUUUUAAUGGUGAUAUAUGGUUGACACAGCCCCGGCCCCAGCUUCUGUCCCUGUUCCUCAAGCUAAGUUUCAAUUUGUUUUGUUUAGAAUGAAUUUCCAUUCCAAGAAUAUAUUUCCAAGCAGCUGGUCGUAGAAUUCGACAAGGUAAACUUUACGGCUUAAAAAUCCACUGAAAAACCCAUUGCCCCUUACCCAGUCUCUUUACAAAAAAAAAAAAAAUAUCCAUGCUAAAAAUUGUUAAAUAUAAUCAGCAAGAUUCACUGGAUUGAAAGAAUAUUAUAUUUUGACAACCCAUUAAACUAUAUUUGAAAUAUAACUUUUACGAUUUUCAUGCCAAUUUUGCAUGCUUUUGUGUAGGUCCAUUAGCUUUCAAUGUUGCAGAUUUUGAUGGAAACUUACCAUCUAUUCACCAAAAUCCAUAUUCAUGGACCAAGGUCAAAAACAUAUUUCAUUCCAUGAUCAAAGUCAUAUACGUAUCUCAUCUAUAGCUCUCUAAGUUUAGCACUGCAAUAAUUUAGCCUUAUGAUUUGCAGGUUGCCAAUAUUAUAUUUAUUGAUUGGCCCGUUGGCACUGGAUUUUCCUAUGCAAACACAUCGAAAGGUUACUCUUCUUCAGAUACCAAAUCAGCAAAAGACAACUAUACGUUUCUUAGAAAGGUACAUUGAUAUUGUUAAUCAUAAGUCAUAGUUGUAAGUAGCUAUUGAAGAGAAUAGAAUUUUAAGUUGUUAGGCUUCUCCGUUUCACCUAUUAAGAAGUCGCUUAUAGACAACUCACUCUUAAAAGUAAUGUGUGAGGUUAGAAUUUUCGAUGUAUUUGUAAACUUCGAUGUAUUUGUAAACCCAUAAGCUAGGCCUUUCACUAGUGAUGUAGGAUUUAAAAUAGUCGCUAUACCAUCCACAUGUGUUUCCAGGUUAGUGAUAUAACAAAAUAUUGAAAAUGCAGUGGUUGUUGAAUCACCCUAUGUUUAUGAAAAAUCGUUUAUAUGUUGCGGGGGACUCUUAUGGUGGCAAACUGGUUCCCAUGGUUGCCUUGGAAAUAUCAAAAGGUAUGUCUGUAAAUAAGAAAUAUAAAACUUGGUUUUCUUUUUUUUUUUCUUUUUUUUUUCUUUUUGUGUGUGUGUGUCAAUAAACUAUGCUUGAUUAAGUUGUAAGUGCUGCUGGUAAUGCAGGCAAUGAAGCAGGCUUACAGCCAUGAAUAUCUUUCCAAGUACUAAUUUACUAUUUAUAUGAUAACUCCAUUUUUAUUUUCAAAUUUUGCAAUAUCACAUUAAUGAGAGAGUGCUUUCGGAAUUGAAAUAGGGAUACAUUAUUGGGAAUGGAUUAACGGAUCCAAACAUUGAUUACAAUGAACGAAUUCCAUAUGCUCACCGAAUGGCACUUAUAUCGGAUGAAUAUUUUGAGGUAGUAAUAUUCUUGAAUCAAUUAUUUUGAUGAUAAAAUUAAUCACACCUAAAACUUGUUAUUGAAUCUAUUUCCCUUAUUCAUGUAACUUGAUACAAUUUUAGUCGGCAAAAAUUAGCUGUGAUGGGAAAUAUUACAAUCCUGAUCCAAAAAAUUUGCAAUGUCUUUAUGCUCUCAGACCGAUCCAAGAGGUAGCACUUGCAUCUUGUUAUAUUUUAUAUUUUCUUUGAAAUUUAGUAUAGCAUAAACACUCAUGAAAUGAUCAAAUAUUGCAGAGUAUUAAAAAUGUAAAUCGAGGACACAUUCUGGAACCAAAAUGUAAACAUAUAGCACCAAAACCAAAUGAAUUGGGAUGGGAUCAAACACUUGCUGAAGAUGAUUCCACUGACCACCUCCUCCUCCCAUCCAAAAUAAAUGGAUUGUGGUGCCGCGUAAUUUCGACCUCUAUUUAUAUAUCUCAUAGCAUGUUCUCCUAGAGUUAACAGGGUUUCUCAAGGUGUGGUUUCUUUUUUGCAGUUUCAAACUUACGUGACAUCAUAUAUUUGGGCAAAUGAUCCAACCGUCCAAGAAGCUCUUCAUAUUAAAAAGGUACUUCUAAAUCAAAAUUGUUAAAAACCCACUAUACUUUAUAAUGGCUAAUCUUUGAUUUGAUUGCCAGGGAACAAUAACAGAUUGGACAAGAUGCAAUAACAGCUUAUCCUAUGCACAUAAUAUAGAAAGUGUUGUUCAAUAUCAUAAAAUCCUCAGCAGGAAAGGAUAUGAAGCUUUGGUGUACAAGUAAGUCAUAUUCAUUUAUUUCUUAAACAAAGUGACUUAUUUUGUUCUAAGCUUAUUCUAGUCCAUCAACUAAGAUAUAGUUGUUUCAAAAGUCAAGGUAAAAGUAUUAAACAAAAAACCUAACUCUACAAAUUUGUAAAUUUGAUUUAAUCUUUUUCAAUUGUUCAUGUUAUCUUUCCAGUGGUGAUCAUGACAUGCUCAUAACUUAUAUGGGUACUUUAAAAUGGAUUCAUAGUCUCAAUCUAACCAUAGAUGACGAGUGGAGACCUUGGAAUGUUAACGGCCAAUUUGCAGGGUUGGUUUCCAAUUCUUUAUCUCAUCCAUUCACACAGAUAUAUGUUGCAUCUUAUUGAAUAAAUCUCAAAAUCUCAUUUACAUAUUAUUUUGUAGAUACACAAGAAAAUACAAGAAGAAUGACUUCUAUCUCACAUUUGUAACGGUGAAGUUAAGAAAAUUUCACUAUGCUCUUUCUCACGGUGAUUGAAAGAAAAAAGAAGUAAACAUGUGUAAUCUAUUGCAGGGUGCAGGUCAUACGGCUCCGGAAUAUAACCCUGAACAAUGUCUUGCAAUGCUCAAUCGAUGGCUCUCUUUAUAUCCUUUAUAGAUUCGGAUUGAUGGCUAAGUUUUUAGGGUUCAUCCAUUACACCUUUUUAGCACUGUGAAAUCAUGAGAAAAAAAGUGAAAAAAAAAAUUUAUAAUGAAAGCAAACUUCAAAAUAAAGUAAUAGCAAUGCCAUGUAAUGUAAUGUUACGAUGCACGUACGUCAUCAAAUCAAAGAUGCCUUGGCUUGGAUUAUCUGGUCCUGUGGUAUCGUUUUCCAUGGUGGUGGACUCCACCAAAUGUUAUUGGGUUGAAGCCUCGAAGUCGUUCAGCCUCCUUAGCAUUGAUCACACACUUAGAUGAAGUAACCUUGUAACGUGAACAGUCAUAGCAGUACGAGUAUUGCAUGUGCUUACGUAAACUCUCAAAUUUCAUUUGCUUUUCACGAAUGCAUUUUUAGCAGUAUUUUAAAAAGCGUAAAGCGUGACUCGGUGUGAAAGCCAAUUUUCAAGCUUUACGAAUCUAGCCAAGGCUUAGGAGUAAAAAAAUGUUUUUUAUUUAUUUUUAAUAUUAUUUAAAAUUUUAUUAAAAAUUAUUUAAUAAUUAAAAUAAUAUAUACCAAACAUUUAAAAUUAUAACAUACUAUAUUUAUUUAAUAAUUCCUACAGUUAGUAAAUUAUACAAUUUUUAAUUUUUCAAAGUGCAAAAAUUAGAUUUUUUUUUCAUAGUUUCAACUUUCAACAGAUAAGUCUUACUUGAAAUUUUCUAACAGAUUUUUAUUUUUGACUCUUGUUCAAAUAAAGUUUUUUAAAAACUUGAAACAAAUCUCAAAUGAAAGGCUUUUAAAAAAAAAUAAAAUAAUUAAUAAAGCGCCACUAGGCACUCAUUGUCAAGGUGUAGCAUUUCGCUCGGGGCCGUGCCUAAGCAUUGCUUGGCGAGCUUUUUAGAAUGCUAUUGUUUAGUAUAGUAAUUUGUCCCUUUAUUUUUCUUUUAACCCUUUUUGAAGAGAAUAACGAGAUGGAAAGAAAUUGAUUCAAAAAGUAGAUAAUAUUGUUUUAUUAAUCAAAAAAUUCGAUUUUCCCUUAGUUAAAGAUAUAGCCUUUUAGAAGUAUACGAAAUUAAGAAAAUGGAGCAGAAAAUUGUUAAAAUUAUUUGAAUAGCUCGCCAACAAAUUGAACGUGAAAGGUAGAACAUUUUGUUGCGAUAGUAAUGUUCUUAUUUGGUAAGGAUACCAUUACAUUUGGAGUUACGCGUUGAGUUUUACUCAACCCCAUAAACUUGUUUCAUUAAGCACCAUCAACUUAAUCAUCAUUUUUCUAUCCAGUAGAUUUGACAAACUUCAUAUGGUGACGAAGAAAAUGAGUGGAGAAUUCAUGAAAUGGGCAAUAUGUUAAUGGUAUUGCAUUUUCCCAACCUCAUCCCUAAUGAAUAAUAAGCAUUUGACUAUACUCCAUACAUUAGCAGUUAAAAGAGAUACAUGUUGAACAUUUUCAUAGAUCUUAGCAUUUAUUUUCCUUGGUAAUCUUGUUUUUCAUUUCUUUUAGGGAAAAUUGUAGCCGAGGUACCAAUACUUUUGUUUAUUAGCAGACUUUGCCCAAACCUUUAGUUUGUGCCACCGGAGAUACCAAACCUUUAAAAAAUGAGCAUGACAGUCCAAAAUGACGGUUUCCGUCUGUUUGACCGCCAAAAUCGUCAAUUGACCCCUCUAAUGAUAUUUUCAAGAAUUUUCUCCAAAUAAGAGAAGGGCAACAUAGACAUUACACACAUUUCCCUCCUCUACAUCAAACACGUCAGUUACAACUUCAUUCUACUCACCAUCCACUAUGGACCCUACGAAAACCCACAAAGAAGACGAAAUGUACGUCGAAGAAGACGAACAUCCAGUGGACAUUGCAGCCCACAUUCGAGGCUCUCUUCCCCAAUCCGUGUAUGGUAAGUGUGUUCCCCUUUUUUCGAUUUACAGUGUGAAAUUGUAUGAUUAUGAAGUUCCCCUGUUCGAUUGUCUUCACGUACUGGGAAAUUUAAAAAUUUUAAGUGAUUUGGUGUGUUAGAACGUAAUGCUUGUGUACUAUCUUUUCUGCACAUGUUCGUUGCUUGAACUGAAAAGGGCUAGGGCUUAACAUCAUAUUUUUCGGUGUUUUUUUAGGGGAAAAUUCAAAGUACUUCAGCAUACGGCUUCAUCAUGGUGGAAUUUUAUUUCAGAAGAUGAGAAAUUUUGUGUAUGAGCAUGGGUAAAUAAGUUAUAUAGACUAUAUCGACCCUGAUUUCUUCAAUAGAUUUCUUUUGGACAAUGUCGUGAAGAUGUUAGAAUAUUCUGAUAGAAUUAGAUAUCUGUACAAGAUGGAGAAGAAAAGAAUGAGUGAAACUUCAUUUUGGUUGGUUAAAGACUCAGAUUUCAUGAAUUUAGUGAAGUGGCUUGGUGAUACUAGAACUGCUGAACUAUAUUGCUUGCCUGUAGUUGAGGUUUUGGAGUUGCCUUGGGAUGAUACAGAACAAAAGGAUGUUCGAGUGUUUGAUUGUGAGAUUGGUGAGGAGUUGUGAAGGUUCAAAAGUCUGGUGAAGCAUUGAAUGAGCAGCAACCAUGCUAUGCUAUUGAGAUUUAUGACGAAUCACUAGACGGUGAUGACGUGUAUGUGGUUGAUGAAGUGGAUGACAUGGAAGUAGAUGAAGAGGAAGUUUUCCUUACAGGAGAUUACGUCGAAGCGUCAUAGAGGUUACAGUGCAUGGAACAGAGCAUGAGUAUACAGAGGUUGAUUUUAUAGGGGCUGAAGUAGACUCACAUGAACCAGAAGUGCAUGCUGCUGAACCAGAGAAACCACAUGAUGUUGAACCACAGUUGAGGUCUGAACAUGAGUUGCAUGACGCUGAAGCAGUGGUACAAGUUGCUGAAACUGAUGUGCAUGCUUCUGAACCAUAGUAGCAGGCUCAACAGGAGCUGCAUGGUACUGAACAAGAGGCGCAGGCUGCUGAACAUGAUGCCGAAGCAAAGGUGUAGGCUGCUGAAAUUGAUGUGCAUGCUUUUGAACCACACCAGUAGGCUCAGCAUGAGGUGCAGGCUGCUGAAACUGAUGUGGAGCUUGAUGAACCACAUGUUGACGUACCGAUUGUUGAAACUGGUGUGGAACAUGAUGAUCUUGAGCAGGAUGAUGAAUAUGAGGAGGGUAUAGGAGAGGAAUUCAAUGACUCGGAGUACGAGCAGGAAGAAAAUAUUGUUGUGGAUGAUAAUGAUGAAAAGACAUAUUUUAGGUUGAGUGAAGGUUUUGACAUUGGUGUAAGUGGAGAGCAGAAAAGUGUAAGGGAUGAACAGGAAGGUGAGGCAGCUGCUGGGGAAGAAUAUGGAAUAGACUACAAAGACUCCAAUGAGCUUAGAAGCUUACCCGGUGAUACGGAGGCUGAGGGUCAUCUGCCAAAAGGAAGAAUGUGCGCUGGUUUAGCCCUGCAACUGAUAUGGAUGAUCCACAGUUCAAGCUAGGUAAUGCAUUUGUUUUGUUUAAUUCAUUUGGAUGAUAAUGCAUUCUGGUUUAAUUCAUUUCUACUAGGGAUGAAAUUCGACAACAUCAAGAUUCUAAAGAAUUCAGUAGUUCAAUACUCAGUCAAAAAUUUCAGGCAACUGAGAUACGUGAAAAAUAUGAGGACACAGUUGAGAGUUUGAUGUCAAGAUAAUUGCCCUUGGGUUCUGUAUGCGUACCAACAACCCGACAAGAGUCUUAGAAUUAACACAUUGGUAGAUGAGCACACAUGUACCAUCGUGUGGCAAAAUAAAAGGGUUAAUUUAGGUUUUUUGGCAAAGAAAUACGUGAGAAAAUUUAGGUCUAAUCCCAACAUUCCAAUGAGUAGUUUUAUGGAGACUGUGAAAGAGGACUGCAUGUAUGAGAUUUCAAAGCAUCAGUUCUACAGGACAAGAUCAAAAUGUGCAGAAGUUAUUAAUGGGAUUGUAGCUGAGCAGUACAAAAUUUUAUGGGAUUACGGCGAGGAAUUGAAGAGAGCAAAUCCAGGCAGUACAGUACAAAUUGAAGGUUCAGGACAUACUUUUAAGAGAUUGUACAUCUGUAUAAGGGCUUGUAAGGAAGGGUUUAAGGCCACGUAGAGGCUAGUUGUUGAGUUGGAUGGAUGCUUCGUAAAAUCUGUAGAAGGUGGACAGUUGUUGGCAGCUGUUGGCAUCGAUGGUAAGAACUGUAUGUUCUCGUUAGCAUGGGCACUUGUGGAUACAGAGAACAAAAUAAACUGGCAAUGGUUCAUAGAAUUGUUGGUUCAUGACAUAGGGAUGCACAACCGUCGAGCUUGGACAUUCAUUUCCGACAAACAAAAGGGUUUGAUGGAUUCCAUAAGUCAAUACUGUGAAGGAGCGGAGUAUAGGUGUUGUGCUAGACAUAUUUGUAGUAAUUACAAAGGGCUGGCACUUAAGAACCAUUUUGGAUUGCAGCAAGGGCAACAAUAGUGUCAGAGUGGAAGAGUGCAAUGAAUGAGUUAAAAGACAUAAGUGAAGAGGCUUACAACUGGUUCUUUGAAAAACCUCCUUCCCAGUGGACCAGAUCCCAUUUUGAAGAGCAUUCGAGAUGUGAUAUUCUUCUUAAUAAUUUGUGUGAGGCAUUCAAUUCUUCCAUUUUUGUUGCCAGAGAUAGGCCCAUCAUCUCGAUGCUAGAGAAAAUUCGGCAUCAGCAAAUGAUAAGGAUGAAUGCAAAAAUGGGAAGCAGCACAGAGGUGGGAUCAUGCAUUCGGGCCAAGAAUUGUGAAAAUUAUUGAGAAUGCUAAGUCUGAGGUAAGGUACUUGAAGGCAGACUAUGCAGGCAACCAUAAGUUUGAGAUAAGCAGCAAAGACGAUUUGAGGUAGAGCGUUGACUUGACAAAACAUGCAUGUGCAUGCAGAAAAUGACAGCUCACUGGAAUACCAUGUCCCCAUGCAAUAUCAAUCAUGCUUUCAAGGGAUAUUGGCAUAUAUGAGGAGAUCGACCCAUGGUAUAGCAAGGAAACAUACCUCAAAUGUUACUCCCCAGUAAUCUACUCGAUGUCAGGACCUGAACUGUGGCCAGAAUUGGGAAAGCAUCCUCUCAAUCAACCUCAGAAGAGAAAAUAGGCUAGCAGACCCAAAAAAAUGAGGAAGAGAUCGUAGGCAGAUCCAUCUACAGGCGUUAAGAUGGGAAGGACUGGCAUGAAGAUACCGUAUAAAUGUUGUGGAGGGUCUGGACAUAACAAAAGAAGUUGUGAGAGAGCACUGCCUGGUGAAGAUAGUUCAUAGCAACAGUCUCAACCAAACACAUAAAUAGAGUCCCAAGAAGAUACACAUACUAGAUCAGCGAAGGGGAAGAGAAAAGCACAUUCAACGGAAACCUCCAAGUCACAGACAAAGAAGUCCAACAAUAGAGGAUCGCAAUCUUGAACAUCAUGUGCUCUCUCUUGUAUAGUUACUUUUUUGGGAAAAUGCUGUGAUUUUUUGCAAACUGAACUGAAAAUAUGUGCUUCAAAUGCUGUUAUUUUGUAGAUGUAACUAGAAUUUUUGAUGAAAUUGUUGAAUGUGAUGAUAAUAUUGAUGUCGAAUAUCUUGCAUUAUGUUUCUGCUGUUUGUCGUUGGUUUCUGAAAUUGUAUUCGUAAGACUUGAUGUGCAGGCGAUUAGGAAAUAUAUGAAAAUAUUUGAUACUUCCUCUGAAAGUAUUAUCAAACAUUUGGUACCUUUACUGCAAUAUUUUUAAAGGUUUAGUAUUCUGUCUGAAAUCAUUAGAAAAUAUUUGGUACUGAUUCUGUGAAUAGUUAUAAGGUUUGAUACCUAUGCUGCACCUUCUUCAGAUAAGUUUGAAGUGUAACAAGCUCUUUUAAUUUCGCAUUUUACAUAGAGGCCAGGAAAAGAUUGUUAAAUUUCAAGUCAAAAUGUACAACACAAUUUUUCCUUUUUACAUAUGCAUUUCACAACAUCAAGCACAUGGCUCUAUGUCGAAACCCUAAACUCAAAUUUCUGGAACUAAAAACUAAAAUCCUACAAUCUGACAUACCUAGGAACAAAGCCAUUUUGCAAACACUCCACACACAAAGCCGAAGAGCCAGAUCUUCCACACAUUUGGUCUUGUUGCUUGAAGUGUGUUAAUUUUAGCUUCCAUUUCUCUCCUACCUCAUAAUAGACCAGGAAUCAAUUCCUUCGAUCUCUCACACAUCGAAGGGUCACAUCACAUAAAGAAGGUGCAUCCACCUACAUCUUGGCUUCGAGGACAAGUGAGAAAUCUUCUUCCCGAGUUCAAGUUCGUCCACGAGGUCUUCAUCUGCACCGGGGAACCACAUCUGCAUACAUUCCCCUCCAUGUGCGUGCUGAUUUUUUUUUACUACCUGUGAGAGAGAAGGGAGGAGGUAAUAUAAUGAUAAAGAAUUGAAGGGAAAUAAACAGUGAAGUAUAUAAUAGGAGGGAAAUGUGUGUAAUGCCCAUGUUGCCCUUCACUUAUUUGGGGAAAUUCUUGAAAAUAUCAUUAGAGGGGUCAACUGACGGUUUUGGCGAUCAAACAGACGGAAACCGUCAUUUUGGACUGGCCCUGCUCAUUUUUUAAAGGUUUGAUAUCUCCGGUGGUACAAACUAAAGGUUUGGGCAAAGUCUGCUAAUAAACGAAAAGUUUGGUACCUCGGCUGCAAUUUUCCCUUUCUUUUAUUUUAAUUAUGUGAACAUUAUGUCCUUUAACAAUCUAGGACUUACAACCAUAGUGCAACUGUUAUCGUAACCAAUCUGUAGAACCUGCCAUUUCACUAGGUAGAAGUCUUCUGAUUAUAUAUAUAAAAUCCCUCCCAGCAUUUUUUCAUACCCCCCAACUAUAUCUAAUACAGUGAAUUGCCCUUAUUAAUAUAUAAUGUAUGUUUUCAGUUAUAGUUCUAUUUGACUUAAAUUGCUACAUUACAAAAUUCUGCUUUAUUUAACAAAGACACCAAAUUAUUGUUUGUGUUAUAUGUACAUAAUAGAUUCACAAAAUAGUUUGCAUACUCAUGAUGUGCUGAGAUGUGAUUAUAUCAAAAUUUCUUCAACCAAAUAAAAUUUAAAAAAAAAUCCAAUCUCUUUUCACCUCCUCAUUUGUACAUAAAGCAUUAUGUAUCUGCUUGCGUACAAGUAACAUUAUUUUUUAAGGAAGGGGAAAUGAAUAUGUAGAAUGCCCCUUUUUUUUCUUCUUUUGUAACAAAUAAUCUUUUGUAACAAAUAAUGUGGAGAAUAUAGAAGCAACAAAAAACACUUUGAACUUGUUAUGACCGAUUUCUUUAUUUUCCCAUUCAUUUACAGGUUGCCAAUAUUAUAUUCAUUUAAAUAAAGUUCAUUUAAAUCAGAAAAAUAAGAACUUACAUAAAGAUUUCAAAUGACCCAUUAAAAUCAAAUGAUGGAAUUUGGGAGCGAAAUUGGAGGAGAGACGAGAGUAAUGGAUUUGAUUCGAUUUGAUUUUGAGGCUCACCCACAAAGAAUAAAAUAAUUCAAUUUCGGGGGAAAAAAAUCAAAAUUUUUUGUGGUGCCACUUGACUACACAUGACCCAUGUGGGUUCGCCUAUGAUGCUGGACAUCAAUGAUGCUGAAUGACAAUGCUUUCAUUAGAGCAUCUGUAAAACCGUUGACUACACAUUAUGUCCUUCAUAACCACAAAUUCUUGAAAAUAAACGCAUAUUUCAUCCUCCAAAGAAUGGUCAAUGCGAAGAUCUGAUAAGCAACGCAUAUGACCAACUUUUCUCAUAUUGAAAAGAACAACCUCGAAAUAUUUAUCAUCUGAGUCGUAUAACUUAAAAUCGUAGUCGAUCGAAGCAUUAAUAACAACAUACGUAGCAAAGUUAAAUAAGUAAACUAGUAAUACAAUUAAGAGGUUGUCUUGUUCUGCUUUUUCUUUAAAAAUCGAUUCUUGCAAGAAAUAUGGGGGACCCCGUUGCAAUUAAGCAGAUGUUGUACAAAAAUAUUAACUAUGACAAAGAAUAAAGCAGCCACCCCCACCAAAUGUUGCUUGUUUUGUGCAUAGACCAUUUCGCCCUUGUUCAAAGAUCAAGUAUAAAAAAAUAUUUGUACCAUACACUCACAAUGCGUCACUGUGUAAUGGGAUCAAGACUCGAGUUACACCAAAUUUCAUGUGAGGUUUAGGUGAUUUAUUGGCAUGGGUAAAAAUAUCUUUAAGUAAGCCAGGGAAGGGUACAGCCUUUGCAUGGUCUCUUUUUUUGGCCUGAAUUUCUUAUUCAAAAUCCCUGUUUCAAACUAUUGUCAUUGUUAAUAAAAACAAGAUAAAUUCUAAAUCUAGUUCAAAACCAAAUAAUCAAUACAUACUUUAGAAAAUAUGUAUUUUUAAAUUAAUAGUAGUUUUCAAACAAAAAGAAAAUUAACUCCACAAAAUCAAGUAAAAGAACAAUAAAAAAUAUGUCUUUAGAAUCGGUUUUUUAUUUACAUGACAAUAAAAGUUGGGACGUUCCUUCUUAAACAUCAUGUGUAAUCUCAAGUUAUUGUUGUUGGUUUCUUAAUUUCAUAGUGCUGACUUUACGAUUCAUCUAGAAACAAUGCACCCACAACUCUAACUCCCCGUUUUGCAAAUAAUGGUCCGACUUAAUUAUCACAUAAUUCAAUCUAUUGUUACAUGGCUCGGAACUCCUUAAUUUCCCAAAAUAUGAAAUUGGUUCUAAAAUUUAGGUGGUUAAGUAUGAUUUUGUGCGAGGCCAGACAGAAGAGUUAGAAUUUCCAUAAAUGAGAAAAUGAUAUGUAGUUGUUCUAUAUUAGUAAUUCAAUACAUAUGAAAAGCAUAUCAAAGGAAGCAAUUAAACCCUAAUUCAAGGUCUUUAAAAUUCAUGAUUUUCACAUAUAAAGAUUAAUUGAUCAAGAAACAUACCUUGAUCCACGACAAUAAUUAAGUAAUUUAAAUCUGCAAAAGAGAAACCAGUAGAAAUAAAGAAAACAUUAUCUUUCUUCACCUCUCUAUAAUUGAAUGUAUUAAUUAAUGAGUUUCAUUCACGCUUAUAAGUAGAGAGGGAUAGUUUCAUGGGCCAUUAAAAUAAUUGUUCACUUUCCAUCAAAGUGAAUAUUUAUAAAGCUGUCACUUGACUCAUUUCUCAAUGGGCCAAUAGAAUUUUAACAAUAUUAAUCACUUUAAAUUAAGUGGAAAUUGCACAAGAAUAUACUUUAAAUAUUCAACCUUCUAAAAUCAGAUUGAAAAUUUGAUAUUUCAAAAAUCAAUGUAUUAUAUUUAAAUAUUAAAUAUUAUAAUACAAAUUUUAUUACAAACCCUAAAUAAUUAUUCCCUCUCCAUCUUUUCCCCUCUCUCUCUUCUCACCCAUCUCCCUCCCCACUCUUAGUCGCCACCUCUCAGUAGCCUUGCCUGACGGCACAUCACCGGCAACAAAUAGCUGUGACAAUGGCGGUUGGAAGUGUUGGCGAUGGUGUUGUGGUGAUGGUCCUCUCUUCCCACCCGUCUCCCUCUCCACUCUCAAUCGCCUCUUCUCUACUCUCAGUAGCCUUUCGACGACACUUCACCGACGAGAAAACAGUUGCAAUCACUCUCUGUAAGGCUGGGACGACACACGGCUAUGACGAAUGGGGCUGCCGUGACAAGAUUUUUGGGGGUGAUUGGGCUGCUGACAAUACACGGCUGCUUAUGGUUUAGGUGUGUUCUCUGUUGGUGAUUAUUGGUUGAUGAUGGCUGAGGCGAUGGUGGUGGUGGUUUUGGAUCUAUGGUUUACAUUGAUUUGGUUACUUCUGUGGUUCACUAUCGAUUAUUUUAGUUUUGUGGCAGUGGUGGUGGUAGUGUAUGGUGCAAUGGUGGGGAUGGUUGUGCGCAGUUCAUAUUUUUUUUCAAAUUUUUUGCUGCGUUGACGUUGGUGCGGUAGAGGUAGCUGUGGCAGUGGCAGUGGUGCAGUUUUUUUACAGGUGGUUAAUGGCGGUGAGACAUUGGUUUUGGUUGUUGAAGUGGUGGUGGUAGUGGUGGCAACUUCCAUAUUUUGGAGGUAGCGGGGCGGUAACGAUGAUAAUGAUGGUGGUUGCAGUGGUCGUGAGUAGGAUGAGAUGGGGUUAAAUGCUUGUGAACAAUUAUUUGGUUGAUUGUAACUAAUAAUUGGUUAAUUUGUAAUACGUGACCUCAAAAUUGUGACUGUGACUCAUAAUUGAUUAAGUUGUGACUAGAAAAUGAAUUGUGACCAAUUAAUAUAAUAAUUUGCGAUGAAUAAAUGAGUUGUGAUCAAUAAAAAUUUUGAUUUUAUGACCAAUAAAUUAUUUGUAACCUGUAAAAUUUUUGAUUUGUGACCAAAAAUAAGUUGUGACUAAAAAUUAAUUCAUGAUUAAUUAAUUUUUUGAUUUGUGAUCGAUGAACAAAUUGUGAUUUACAAAAUUUUUGAAUUAUGAUCGUAAAAUAAUUUUUGAUAUAAAAUUUUUAAUUUGUGGCUAAAAAUAAUAAAUGACUAAUUAAAUUGUUAAUUUGUGGUCAAAUUGUAUAGAUCUGUGAUCUAAAUAUAUUUAAUUGGUAAAUUAAUUAAUUAAAUCAUAAAUAAUUUUUAAUAAAAAUCUAACUUUUAAAGUUUAAAACUUUUUUUCUUAAUUUUGAAAUAUAUGAUACUUAAACUCUCACUUAUUAAAUUUUCCUUCAAAUUAAUUCUUUAAUAAUAUUACAUGGGCCACAUUUAAUUGGACUAACAAUCAAUACAAAAAGGCUGGUGUAAGGGAUGACGAUAGCCAUCGACUGUAUUUUUUUGACUUUUUUAUAAAUAAUAUAAAUAUAUAAAUAUGAAGGACAGAAAAAGAAUACAAUAUUCCAACUUUUCCCUUUAUCUCAGAUCUAUGCCAUUUUCCAAUAACACAGUAAAACAUAUAUGUUUCUGCAGCUCAAUUUCUAGGCUGAUUAUUAUGAAGUUGAUAUGGUUUGAUGCACUUCUUCUUCUUCUUCAGCUCCUCUUUAGCAAGGCAGCAUCAGAGUUCAAUAUAGAGACUCUUCCGGGUUAUUCGGGUACUCUUCCUGUCAAGCUCGAAACAGGGUGGGUUUCUUUCAUUCUUUAACAACUUCCUUUUGACUUUUAAUUCCAGAAACUGAGUAAAUUUUUUUAUAAAUUUGGAUGAUUAGAUAUAUUGAUGUGGGAGAAACUGAAGAAGUGCAACUAUUCUACUACUUCAUCGAGUCCGAAAGCAAUCCUAAAAUGGACCCUAUUCUGCUUUGGCUCAACGGUGGACCUGGUUGCUCUGCUCUCUCCGGCCUCUUUUAUGAAAUCGGUACUCUCUCUAUAUGUGUGUCAUUAUUUUCUUUCAGCAAAUGGGACUUAUACAUACUCAGGGAAUUACAUCCUUCCUAUGCAUAAACGGGAGAGAUAUGUGUGUGCAGUAUGCAAAUGAUGAGUAGCAACCAGCAAAAUAUGGAAAGUGAUUCGCACCAUUCAAAUUGAACACACAAAAGAUCUGCAUGUGCUCUGUAUCGUAGAUAAGUAAUAUAACGAUAAGUAGAGUAUCGUCUCACGAAAAUUAUGUAUUUAAUCUAGUAUCAAUUAAUGCUUACUCUAAUUGAAUUGUUGAGUUUGUAUGGUGAAUUUAUACUAAUUAAUUAAUUAAAUUACUUCAAUGAGCAACUUAUGAAAGCUUUUUGUAAAAUUAUGUUAAGCACUUGCUACGACUUUGAAUUUUCCUUAUUAAUCCAAUUUAAUGCAAUUCAAUAUCAUGACAAUAUGUAAUCAUUCUCUUCUUUUUCUUUUUUUUUCUUUUUUUGUUAUUAUCAAUGUUCCUAGAUUAUUUAAUAAUUUAUCUCGAGUAGAAAAUCUAUUCUUUCUUGUGACCCUUAUAAAUCUUUCUAUGAAAGGCAAACAUAAAAGUAAGUGCUCAAACUUUAGAACAUCUAUUGAAAUCUACAAGGCACUCGAUCAUACUUCACAAUAUUUACUAUAACAUGCUAUAGAUCUUAUUAUUUCUCUUGAAUCAUCAAUUCAAUUAUUAAUCAGGUAAUUCAAAGGCAUUAAACCCUAUAACAAUUCCUAGGAAUAACAAAUAUGAGGCGUCAAAAUAUUGAUAUUUUAUUAAAAUUUCAUAACAAUGGUUCAUUUAUAUCUUAGCAACUAAUAAUCUAGCAUAGCAUUACUAAGUUGCAUUAAAUCAUAAUUAAUUUGUAGAACAUCAUUCGGAUUCUCGAUAUAGGAAGAAAAGGAGGAAUCACGAAAUUUUGAGUCUCUUCAAUGGUUUUUUAAUUAAUGUCCAACUUUACAUUCUUUUUCUUUGCCAAAAAUCAAUGUUGAAUCUUCAAAUGAUUGAAUUCUCAUAUAUUGCCUCUUGAAUUCUCCCAAAAGAACAAUUAAUUGGCCUCUCUUAGUUGCAAGAUUAUGCGUAUGAUAUGAUACGAGAGAAGUCCUUCCAAUGUUUGAUGGUGUUGUGUAUUUAUAAUGGUCGAAUCUAUGUCGAAAUCCAAGUUUUGAAAUUGACUUCCAAAAUGUGUUUUGACUCAAAAUAGGAAACAGCUCCCAUCUGUCAGAAUUUGGGUCGUGCAUUUCGUGCCCUAUAGACUUUAGGAAUGUUCAGUUUGGCCCUCAUCUUUUGUCCUUUGUUUAUUUUGAGUCUGUUCUUCUUGCAAUUCCAAUCCUUCAUCUUCUAUAUUCACUCAAUUGAAUCCAUGCAAUCUUCAAUCACCUUCUUUGGUCGAAAUCAACUUUUGAAAUUCUUUCUUUUUCACCCUUCUUUUUCCAAUUUCUACUUCUUUUGCGCAAAACCUAUCCAAACUUGAAUAUGUUUUGCAACAAUCGAUAUUUAAACAAAUUAAAUAGCAAUUAACUCAAAAAGAUGCCUAAAUAUGAUAACUAGAUAGGUGUAAAAAAAAAAAAAGUGGGUCAUGUUACAUGUACAUCAAUGAAGAGUUGAAAAAUAGUUUUUUCAAUCCUCCGACUAUGGAAUUUCACAUAUAUAUUAUGGACACCCUUAUGGAUACCAUAAUGUACAUAUAGAAUUACACUAUCACAAAAUGACAUAGACAACAAAUUCAAAAUAUUAAAAAGGAUGGAUUUUUUUUUUCUAUUUUUAAUUGACUUUGUGCUGGAAUGAUUGCCCCAAAUUUCUAACUCAAAAUUUUUACAAUAAUUUACAAGUGAAGAGCAAACCAGUUCCUAUAUCUAGUGUGAGUUCGCUAAUUUAGUGAUUUUUAAUGGUGAUUUAAGUUUCAACUAGUUUUGUUUAGAAUUAAUUUCCAUUCUAAGAGUAUAUUUCCAAGGAGCUGGCCAUAGAAUCCGACAAGGUAAACUUUACGGCACCAAAAAAAUCAUUGCCUUUUCCAAAUUUUUACUCGGUCUCUCCAAACGAAUAAAAAAAAAUCAAUUCUAAAAAUUGUUAAAUAUAAUCAGCAAGAUUCACCGAAUUGAAAGAAUAUUAUGCCCAUGUUUGUUGCCCAUUUUCCACUCCCAUUUUAGACAAAAUAGAGCCGUUACUUGUCCAUUCCACUGACAUUACUGUCCUUAUGUUACUGCACAAACAAAUUUUUACACUCCAAUUCCUUUACAAUCCUCAACAAUGAGCAAAAAUUAUGGGAGGUGGAGAAGUCAAAAAGGGUGGACUUUUGUAUGAGAUGGGGGCAUUUCGGGAAAGUAAAAUAUUGCACUAGUCAAUUUCAAAUGGAUGUCAGCAUGUCGGACCCCAUGUUGGUAGGAAGAAUGCAUUUUUUUGGGUAAAAAUGGGAAACAAACGGGGCUAUAUUUUGAUUACCCCAUUAACCUAUAUCUGAAAUAUAACUUUCAUGAUGUUCAUGUCAAUUUUGUGUGCUUUUGUGUAGGUCCAUUAGCUUUUGAUGUUGCAGAUUUUGAUGGAAGCUUACCAUCUAUUCACCAAAAUCCAUAUUCAUGGACCAAGGUUAAAAACAUAUCUCACUCCAUGAUUAAAGUCAUGUACGUAUCUCAUCUAUAGCUCUCUAAAUUUAGCACUACAGUAAUUUAGCCUAAUGAUUUGCAGGUUGCCAAUAUUAUAAUUAUUGAUUGGCCCGUUGGCACUGGAUUUUCCUAUGCAAACACAUCUAAAGGUUACUCUUCUUCAGACACUAAAUCAGCAAAAGACAACUAUACAUUUCUUAGAAAGGUAAGUUGAUAUUGUUAAUCAUAAGUCAUCUUUGUAAGUAGCUAUUGAAGACAUUAGAAUUUUAUGUUAUUAGACUUCUCCGUUUCACCUAUUAAAAAGUUGCUUAUAUACAACUCACACUUAAAAGUAAUGUAUGAGGUUAGAAUUUUCGAUGUAUUUGUAAACCCAUAGGCUAGGCCUCUCGCUAGCUGCAGGAUUUAAAAAUAGUCGCUAUACCAUCCACAUGUGUUUUCGGGUUAGUGAGCUAACAAAAUAUUGAAAAUGCAGUGGUUGUCGAAUCACCCUAUGUUUAUGAAAAAUCGUUUAUAUGUUGCGGGGGAAUCUUAUGGUGGCAAACUGGUUCCCAUGGUUGCCUUGGAAAUAUUAAAAGGUAAGUAUGUAAAUAAGAAAUAUAAAACUUGGUUUUAUUCGAUUUUUUUCUUAAUUAGCUAUGCUUGAUUAAGUUGUAAGUGUUGCUGGUAAUGCAGGCAAUGAAGCAGGCUUCCACCCACGAAUAUUUCUCCAAGUAUUAAUUCACUAUUUAUAUGAUAACUCUUUUUUAUUAUCAAAUAUUGUACCAUAUAUCAUGUUAAUGAGAGAGUGCUUUCAAAAUUGAAAUAGGGAUACAUUAUUGGGAAUGGAAUAACAGAUCCAAACAUUGAUUUCAAUGAACGAAUUCCAUAUGCUCACCGAAUGGCACUUAUACCAGAUGAAUAUUUUGAGGUAGUAAUAUUCCUGAAUCGAUUAUUUUGAUGAUAAAAUUAAUCAUACCUAAAACUUAUCAGUGAGUCUACUCUUAAUUUUUUUAUAACUAAACAUUUCCCUUAUUCAUGUAACUUGAUACAAUUUUAGUCAGCAAAAAUUAGCUGUGAUGGGAAAUAUUACAAUCCUGAUCCAAAAAAUCUACAAUGUCUUUAUGCUCUUAGACUGAUCCAAGAGGUAACAUUUGCAUCUUCUUGUAUUUUACAUUUUUGAAAGUUAGUAUAGCAUAAACACUCAUGAGAUGAUCAAAUAUUGCAGAGUAUAAAAAAUGUAAACGGAAGACAUAUUCUGGAACCAAAAUGUAAAAUUAUGGCACCAAAACCAGAUGAAUUGGGAUGCGAUCAAACACUUGCCGACGAUGAUUCCAUUGACCACCUCCUCCUCCCAUCCAAAAUGGAUGGAUUGUGGUGCCGCGUAAAUUUUGGCCUCUAUUUAUAUAUCUCAUGGCAUGUUCUCCUAUAGUUAACAGGUUUCUCAAGACAUAAUUUCUUUCGUGCAGUCUGAAACUUAUGCGACAUCAUAUAUUUGGGCAAAUGAUCCAACCGUCCAAGAAGCUCUUCAUAUUAAAAAGGUACUUCUGAUACAAAAUUGUUGAAAAUCCAUUGCGCUUUAUAAUGGUUAAUCGUUGAUUUUGAUUGCCAGGGAACAAUAACAGAUUGGACGAGAUGCAAUCGUGGCUUAUCCUAUGAACAUAAUAUCGAAAGUGUUGUUCAAUAUCAUAAAAUCCUCAGCAAGAAAGGAUAUGAAGCUUUGGUAUAUAGGUAGUCAUAUUCAUUGUUUUUUUUUUUAAACAGAGUGUGACUUAAUUUGUUCUGAGUUUAUUCUAGUCUAUCAAGUGAGAUAUAGUUGUUUCACAAGUCAUGGCAAAAAUAUAAACUGAAAAACCUAACUCUACAAAUUUGUAAAUUUGAUUUAAUAUUUUUCAAUUGUUUGUGUUCUUUCUAGUGGUGAUCAUGACAUGGGUGUGCCUUAUAUGGGUACUUUAAAAUGGAUUCAUGGUCUCAAUCUAACCAUAGAUGAUGAGUGGAGACCUUGGAAUGUUAACGGCCAAGUUGCGGGGUUGGUUUCUAAUUAUUUAUCACUUUCAUUUACACACAUGUAUAUUGCAUCUUAUUAAUUAAUCUCAAAAUUUCAUUUACAUUUUAUUUUGUAGGUACACAAGGAAAUAUAAGAAGAAUGACUUCUAUCUCACAUUCGUAACGGUGAAGGUAAGAAAAUUUCAAUAUGCUCUUUCUCACAAUGAUUGACAGAAAAGGAAGUAAACAUUUGUUAUAUAUUGCAGGGUGCAGGUCAUACGGCUCCUGAAUAUAACCCUGAACAGUGUCUUGCAAUGCUCGACCGAUGGCUCUCUUUAUAUCCUUUAUAGGUUUAGGUUGAUGACAAAGUUUUAAGGGUUCAUCCAUUACAUCUUUUUAAAACGGUAUUGUCAUUAUAUAAUCUGUAAUUGUUUAUUCAGUUAAUAAAACCAAUGUAAUAUGAUAAUCAUAUAGAAAUCUUUUAUAAAUGAUUGAAUUUAAAAGAAAAGAUAAUUUUAACCUAAUUUUGGUCAUAUUUAGCUUUACGGAGUCUUUUUCUUUCUUUGAAACAAUAUCAAUAUUUACAUUUUAAUCAAAGCCCCACAAACUACAGACCUAAACUGCACGAUAAAAUUAACUCAAAGAAACAAACUCCUUUAUUAUGUGCCAUAUGAAGCCAACUCGUGGGUCACUUUAUUCGCAUCUUAAGAUUAAAGCGGCACGAACCACAAUUAAGUUUACAUAAAGAAGAAAAAGUAUCCUUGGAAUUGAUUCCAUUUUGUAUAUUAUUUCGAAUGCAAUAAUUUUUUUCUAGAAUUUACUGCAGACUUUCAUUCACCUUGUGUGUUCCAGCCCAAACACAAUAUGGCCUUCCAAGCAAAAUGUUCGAUCGGAUUUGUUUUCAAUUCAAUUUAAGACUCAUUUAAACCAACUCCGUUUUUACUAAAUCGCAAGAAAUUUCUUACCUUUAUCCUUCAUUUUGCAAAUAAUUGAAAGAUUAUGUUUCACAUUUACUUUAAAUUUAAUUGACAGAUUUAUGUUUCAAAUUUACUUUAAUUGACAGAUUAUUAGCAUUUUUUUUCAACCGAUUUCAGUUUAAUUACUUUUUGAUUCUAUAUUUUAUUGAUGUUAGAAUUUGCCAUUUGAACUCUUUUGUCUAUCAUUUUACCUGGUUUUUAUAUUUAUUGUGAUUUAGGGGUAAAGAUCUAACCUGAAGUUGGAGAAGUCGGAAAAAAAGAGCAAAAGAAUGAGUGAAAUUGUGGGAGGAACUGAUUUUCCUUCUACGACUUCAAUAACAUCAUUGGAAUCAAUAAAGACGUGAUAAUGCUGGUUUCGAUGCCAGUCGAAUUGCAGAAGUGAAAGCAUGGCUCAUUUCCCAAUUUAAUGGAUGACUUUUAUCUCACAUUUGUAACGGUGAAGGUAAGAAAAUUUCACUAUGCUCUUUCUCAUGGUGAUUGAAAGAAAAAAGAAGUAAACAUGUGUUAUCUAUUGCAGGGUGCAGGUCAUGCGGCUCCAGAAUAUAACCCUGGACAAUGUCUUGCAACGCUCAAUUGAUGGCUCUUUUUAUAGCCUUUAUAGAUUCAGAUUGAUGGCUAAGUUUUUAGGGUUCAUCCAUCACACCUUUUUAGCACUGUGAAAUCAAGAAGAAAAAAGUGAGAAAAAAUUAUAUAAUGAAAGCAAACUUCAAAAUAAAGUAAUAGCAAUGCCAUGUAAUGUUACAAUGCACGUACGUCAUCAAAUCAAAGAUGCCUUGGCUUCUAUUGAUCUGGUUCUGUGGUAUUGUUUUCCAUGGUGGUGGACCCCGCCAAAUGUUAUUGGGUUGAAGCCUCGAAGUCAUUCAGCCUCCUUAGCAUUGAUCACACACUUAGAUGAAGUAACCUUGUAACGUGAACAGUCAUAGCAGUACGAGUAUUGCAUGUGCUUCUUACGAAAAAUCUCAAUUUUCAUUUGCUUUUCACGAGUGCAUUUUCCGCAGCAUUCUAAAAAGCGUAAAGCGUGACUCAGUGUGAAAGCCAAUUUUCAAGCUUUACGAAUCUAGCCAAGGCCUAGGAGUAAAAAAACAUGUUUUUUUAUUUAUUUUUAAUAUUAUUUAAAAUUUUAUUAAAAAUUAUUUAAUAAUUAAAAUAAUAUAUACCGAACAUUUAAAAUUAUAACAUACUAUAUUUAUUUAAUAAUUCCUACAAUUAGUAAAUUAUACAAUUUUUAAUUUUUCAAAGUGCAAAAAUUAGACUUUUUUUUUAUAGUUUCAACUUUCAACAGAUAAGUCUUACUUGAAAUUUUCUAACAAAUUUUUAUUUUUGACACUUGUUCAAAUAAAGUUUUUUAAAAACUUGAAAAAAAUCUCAAAUGAAAGGCUUUUAAAAAAAUAAUAAUAAAAGAAUUAAUAAAGCGCCACUACGCACUCAUUGUCAAGGUGUAGCAUUUCGCUCGGGCUUGGUGAAUAAGCGUUGCUUGGCAAGCUUUUUAGAACACUAAUGUUUAGUAUAGUAAUUUGUUCCUUUACUUUAUUUUUCUUUUAACCCUUUUUGAAGAGAAUAACGUGAUGGAAAGAAAUUGAUUCAAAAAGUAGAUAAUAUUGUUUUAUUUAUCAAAAAAAUCGAUUUUCCCUUAGCUAAAGAUAUGACCUUUUAGAAGUAUACGAAGUUAAGAAAAUGGAGCAGAAAAUUGUUAAAAUUUUUUGAAUAGCUCGCCAACAAAUUGAACGUGAAAGGAAGAACAUUUCGUUGCUAUAGUAAUGUUCUUGUUUGGUAAGCAUUCCAUUACAUUUGGAGUUGUACGUUGAGUUUUACUCAACACCAUAAACUUGUUUCAUUAAACUCCAUCAACUUAAUCAUCAUUCUUCUAUCCAGUAGAUUUGACACACUUCAUAUGGUGACGAAGAAAAUGAGUGGAAAAUUCAUGAAAUGGGAAAUAUGUUGAUGGUAUUGCAUUUUCCCAACCUCAUCCCUAAUGAAUAAUAAGCAUUUGACUAUACUCCAUACAUUAGCAGUUAAAAGAUAUGCACGUUGAACAUUUUCAUAGAUCUUAACAUUUAUUUUCCUUGGUAAUCUUGUUUUUCAUUUCUUUUAUUUUAAUUAUGUGAACAUUAUGUCCUUUAACAAUCCAAGACUGACAACCAUAGUGUAACUGUUAUCGUAACCAAUCUGUAGAACUUGCCAUUUCACUUGGUAGAAGUCUUCUGAUUAUAUAUAUAAAAUCCCUCCCAGCAUUUUUUCAUACCCCCCAACUAAAUCUAAUACGGUGAAUUGCCCUUAUUGGUAUAUAAUUUAUGUAUUUAGUUAUAGUUCUUUUUGACUUAAAUUGUUACAUUACAAAAUUCUGCUUUAUUUAACAAAGACACCAAAUUAUUGGUUGUGCUAUAUGUACAUAAUAGAUUUACAUAAUAGUUUGCAUACUCUUGAUGUGCUGAGAUGUGAUUAUAUCAAAAUUUCUUCAAUCAAAUAAAAUUUGAAAAAAAACAUUCAAUCUCUUUUCACCUCCUCAUUUGUACAUAAAGCAUUAUGUAACUGCUUGCGUACAAGUAAUAUUAUUUUUUAAGGAAGGGGAAAUGAAUAUGUAGAGUGCCAUUUUUUCUGUAACAAAUAAUGUGGAGAAUAUAGAAGCAACAAAAAACACUUUGAACUUGUUAUGACCGAUUUCUUUAGCCUCUCCUUUCAUUUACAGGUUGCCAAUAUUAUUUUCAUUUAAAUAAAGUUCAUUUAAAUCAGAAAAUUAAGAACCUACGUAAAGAUUUCAAACGAUGGAAUUUGGGAGCGAAAUUGGAGGAGAGACGAGAGUAAUGGAUUUGAUUCGCUUUGAUUCUGAGGCUCACCCACAAAUAAUAAAUUAAUUCAAUUUCGAAAAAAAAAUCAAAAUUUUUUGUGGUGUCACUUGACUCCUCACGACCCAAAUGGAUUCGCCUAUUAUGCUUGACAUCAAUGAUGCUGAAUGACAUUGCUUUCAUUAGAGCAUCUGUAAAGCCCAUUGACUACACAUUAUGUCCUUCAUAACCACAAAUUCUUGAAAAUAAACGCAUAUUUUCAUCCUCCAAAGAGUAGUCGAUGCGUAGAUUUGAAAAAGCAUAUGACCAACUUCUCUCAUAUCGAAAAGAACGACCUCGAAAUAUUUAUCUUCUGAGUCGUAUAAGUUAAAAUCACAGUCUGUCGAAACAUUAAUAACAGCAUAUGUAGCAAAGCUAAAUAAGUAAACUAGCAAUACAAUUAAGAGGUUGUCUUGUUAUGCUUUUUCUUUAAAAAAUCGAUUCUUGCAAGAAAUAUGUGGGACCCCUUUGCAAUUAAGCAGAUGUUGUACAAAAAUAUUAAUUAUGACAAAGAUAAAGCAGCCACCCCCAUCAAAUGUUGCUUGUUUUGUACAAAGACCGUUUCGCCCCUGUUCAAAGAUCAAGUUGAAAAAAAAAUAUUUGUACCAUACACUCACAAUGCGUCACUAUGUAAUGGGAUCGAGACUCGAGUUGCACCAAAUUUGACUUGAGGUUAGGUGAUUUAUUGGCUGGGGUUAAAAUGUCUUUAAGCAAGCCAGGGGAAGGGUGCCGGCUUUCCACGAUCUCUUGUUUUGGCCUGAAUUUUUAAUUCAAAAUCCCUGUUUCAAACUGUUGUCAUUGCUAAUAAAAACAAGAUAAAUUCUAAAUCUAGUUCAAAACCAAAUAAUCAAUACAUACUUUAGAAAAUAUGUAUUUUUAAAUCAAUAGUAGUUUUCAAACAAUAAGAAAAUUAACUCCACAAAAUCAAGCAAAAGAACAAUAAAAAAUGUCUUUAGAAUUGGUUUUUACUUACAUGACAAUAAAAGUUGGGACGUUCCUUCUUAAACAUCAUGUGUAAUCUCAAGUUAUUGCUGUUGAUUUCUUAAUUUCAUAGUGCUGACUUUACAAUUCAUCUAGAAACAAUUCACCCUCAACUCUAACUCCUCGUUUUUGCAAAUAAUGGUCCGACUUAAUUAUCAUAUAAUUCAAUCUAUUGUUACAUGGCUCGGAACUCCAUAAUUUCCCAAAAUAAAAAAUUGGUUCUAAAAUUUAGGUGGUUAAGUUUGAUUUUGUACGAGGCUGGACAGAAAAGUUAGAAUUUCCAUAAAUGAGAAAAUGAUAUGUAGUUGCUCUAUAUUAGUAAUUCAAUACAUAUGAAAAGCAUAUCAAAGGAAGCAAUUAAACCCUAAUGUCAAGAUCUUUAAAAUUCAUGAUUUUCACAUAUAAAGAUUAAUUGAUCAAGAAACAUACCUUGAUCCAUGACAAUAAUUAAGGAAUUUAAAUCUGCAAAAGAGAAACCAGUGGAAAUAAAUAAAACAUUCUCUUCCUUCACUUCCCUGUAAUUGAAUGUAUUAAUUAAUGAGUUUCAUUCACGCUUAUAAGCAGAGAGGGAUAGUUUCAUGGGCCAUUAAAAUAACUAUUCACUUUCCAUCAAAAUGAAUAUUUAUAAAGCUGUCACUUGACUCACUUCUCAAUGGGCCAAUAGAAUUUUAACAAUACUAAUCACUUUAAAUUAAGUGGAAAUUACACAAGACCAUACUUUAAAUAUUCAACCUUCUAAAAUUAGAUUGAAAAUUUGAUAUCUCAAAAAUCAAUGUUUUAUAUUUUAAUAUUAAAUAUUAUAAUACAAAUUUUAUUACAAACCCUAAAUAAUUAUUCCCUCUCCAUAUUUUCCCCUCUCUUUCUCUUCUCACCCGUCUCCCUCCCCACUCUUAGCCGCCACCUCUUAGCGGCCUUUCCUAACGGCACAUCACUGGUGAUAAAUAGCUGCGACAACGAUGGUUGGAAGUGUUGACGAUGGCGUUGUGGUGAUGGUCUUCUCUUCUCACCCGUCUCCCUCUCCACUCUCAAUUGCCUCUUCCCUACUCUCAGUAGCCUUUCGAUGGCACUUCACCGACGAGAAAACAGUGGCAAUCACUCUCUCCACUCUCUGUAACGCUGCGACGACACACGGCUAUGAUGAACGGAGCUGCCGUGACAUGAUUUUUGGGGGUGAUUGGGCUGCCGAUGAUACACAGCUGCUUAUGGUUUAGAUGUGUUCUCUGUUGGUGAUUAUUGGUUGAUGAUGGCUGAGGUGAUGGUGGUGGUGGUUUUGGAUCUAUGGUUUACAUUGAUUUGGUUACUUCUGUGGUUCACUAUUGAUUAUUUUAGUUUUGUGGCAGUGGCGCGGUGGUGGUAGUGUAUGGUGUGAUGGUGGUGUGCGGCGGCUGGGAUGGUUGACUGCAGUUCAUAUUUUUUUUUCAAAUUUUUUGCUGCAUUGACGGUGGUGCGGUAGAGGUAGCUGUGCUAGUGGUGCAGUGAUGGUGUAGGUGGUUGAUGGCGAUGAGACAUUGGUUUUGUUUGUUGAAGUGGUGGUGGUGGCGGCUUCCAUAUUUUGGAGGUAGCGGGGCGGUAACAGUGAUAAUGAUAGUGGUUUUAGUGGUCAUAAGUGGGAUGAGAUGGGGUUAAAUGCUUGUAAACAAUUAUUUGGUCGAUGGUGAAUUUUUGAUUCGUGACCAGAAAUUAAUAUGACCUAUAAAAUUUUUGAUUUGUGACCAAAAAUAAGUUGUAACUAAAAAUUAAUUCGUGAUGAACUAAUUUUUUGAUUUGUGAUCGAUGAACAAAUUGUGACUUACAAAAUUUUUAAAUUAUGAUCGUAAAAUAAUUUGUGACAUAAAUUUUUUAAUUUGUGAUUAAAAAUAAUAAAUGAUUAAUUAAAUUGUUAAUUUGUGACCAAAUUAUAUAGAUCUGUGAUCUAAAUAUAUUUAAUUGGUAAAUUAAUUAAUUAAAUCAUAAAUAAUUUUUAAUAAAAAUUUGAUUUUUGAAAUUUAAAAUUUGUUUUCUUAAUUUUGAAAUAUAUGAUACUCAAACUCUCAUUUAUGAAAUUUUCCCUUAAAUUAAUGCUUUAAUAAUAUUACAUGGGCCACACUUAAAUGGACUAACAAUCAAUACAAAAAGGCCGGUGUAAGGGAUGACGAUAGCCAUCGACUGUAUUUUUUUGACCGUUUUAUAAAUAAUAUAAAUAUACAAAUAUGAAGGACAGAUAAAGAAUACAAUAUUCCAACUUUUCCUAUUCUAAUCAACUCUCUCAUCAAUUUCAAAAAAGUUUAUCUCAGAUCUAUGCCAUUUUCCAAUAACACAGUAAAACAUACAUGUUUCUGCAGCUCAAUUUCUAGGCUGAUUAUUAUGAAGUUGAUAUGGUUUGAUGCACUUCUUCUCCUUCUUCUUCUUCAGCUUCUCUUUAGCAAGGCAGCAUCAGAGUUCAAUAUAGAGACUCUUCCGGGUUAUUCGGGUACUCUGCCUGUCAAACUCGAAACAGGGUGGGUUUCUUUCAUUCUUUAACAACUUCCUUUUGACUUUUAAUUCCAGAAACUGAAAAAAAAAAAAUUAUAAAUUUGGAUGAUUAGAUAUAUUGAUGUGGGAGAAACUGAAGAAGUGCAAAUAUUCUACUAUUUCAUCGAGUCCGAAGGCAAUCCUAAAACGGACCCUAUUCUGCUUUGGCUCACGGGUGGACCUGGUUGCUCUGCUCUCUCCGGCCUCUUUUAUGAAAUCGGUACUCUCUCUAUAUGUUUGUGUAUUAUUAUUUUCUUUCAGCAAAUGGGACUUAUAUACAUACUCAGGGAAUUACACCCUUCCUAUGCAUAAACGAGAGAGAGAGGUGUGUGCAGUAUGCAAAUGAUGAGUAGCAACCAGCAAAAUAUGGAAAGUGAUUCGCACCAUUCAAAUUGAACACACAAAAGAUCUGCAUAUGCUCUGUAUCGUAGAUAAGUAAUAUAAUGAUAAGAUGAAUAUCAUCUCACAAAAAUUAUGUAUUUAAUCUAGUAUCAAUUAAUGCUUACUCUAAUUGAAUUGUUGAGUUUGUAUGGUGAAUUUAUACUAAUUAAUUAAUUAAAUUACUUUAAUGAGCAACUUAUGAAAGCUUUUUGUAAAAAUUAGGUUAAGCACUUGCUACGACUUCAAAUUUUCCUUAUUAAUCCAAUUUAAUGCAAUUCAAUAUCAUGACAAUAUGUAAUCGUUCUCUUCUUUUUCUUUUUUUUUCUUUUUUUUUUAUUAUCAAUGUUCCUAGAUUAUUUAAUAAUUUAUCUCGAGUAGAAAAUCUAUUCUUUCUUGUGACCCUUAUAAAUCUUUCUAUGAAAGGCAAACAUAAAAGCAAGUGUUAAAACUUUAGAAUAUCUAUGGAAAUCUGCAAGGCACUCGAUCAUACUUCACAAUAUUUACUAUAACAUGCUAUAGAUCUUAUUAUUUCUCUUGAAUCAUCAAUUCAAUUAUUAAUCAGGUAAUUCAAAGGCAUUAAACCCUAUAACAAUCCCUAGGAAUAACAAAUAUUAGGCGUCAAAAUAUUGAUAUUUUAUUAAAAUUUCAUAACAAUGGUUCAUUUAUAUCUUAGCAACUAAUAAUCUAGCAUAGCAUUACUAAGUUGCAUAAAACAUAAUUAAUUUGUAGAAUAUCAUUCGGAUUCUCGAUAUAGGAAGAAAAGGAGGAAUCACAAAAUCUUGAGUCUCUUCAAUGGUUUUUUAAUUAAUGUCCAACUUUACAUUCUUUUUCUUUGCCAAAAAUCAAUGUUGAAUCAUCAAAUGAUUGAAUUCUCAUAUAUUGCCUCUUGAAUUCUCCCAAAAGAACAAUUAAUUGGCCUCUCUUUGUUUCAAGAUUAUGCGUAUGAUAUGAUAUGAGAGAAGUCCUUCCAAUGUUUGAUAGUGUUGUGUAUUUAUAAUGGUCGAAUUUAUGUCAAAAUCCAAGUUUUGAAAUUGACUUCCAAAAUGUGUUUUGACUCAAAAUAGGAAACAGCUCCCAUCCGUCAGAAUUUCGGUCGUGCAGUUCGGGCCCUAUAGACUUUAGGAAUGUUCAGUUUGGCCCUCAUCUUUUGUCCUUUGUUUAUUUUGAGUCUGUUCUUCUUGUAAUUCCAAUCCUUCAUCUUCUAUAUUCACUCAAUUGAAUCCAUGCAAUCUUCAAUCACCUUCUUUGGUCGAAAUCAACUUUUGAAUAUUUGUAAUUCAGUCCAUGAACUUUGAAAUUCUUCCGUUUUCACCCUUCUUUUUCCAAUUUCUACUUCUUUUGCACAAAACCUAUCCAAACUUGAAUAUGUUUUGCAACAAUCGAUAUUUUAAACAAAUUAAAUAGCAAUUAACUCAAAAAGAUGCCUAAAUAUGAUAACUAGAUAGGUGUAAAAAAAAAAGGUGGGUUAUGUUACAUGUACAUUAUGGUGUCCAUAAGGGUAUCCAUAAUGUACAAGUGGUAUAAUAUCAAUGAAGAGUUGAAAAAUAGUUUUUUCAACUCUUCAACCAUGGAAUUCCACAUGUAUAUUAUGGACACCCUUAUGAAUACCAUAAUGUACAUAUAGAAUUACACUGUCACAAAAUGACAUGGACAACAAAUUCAAAAUUUUAAAAAGGGUGGAUUUUUUUUUUUUUUUUAUAUUUACUUGAUUUUGUGCUGGAAUGAUUGCCCCAAAUUUCUGACUCAAAAUUUUUACAAUAAUUUACAAGUGAAGAGCAAACCAGUUCCUAUAUCUAGUGUGAGUUCGCUAAUUUAGUGAUUUUCAAUGGUGAUUUAAGUUUCAACUAGUUUUGUUUAGAAUGAAUUUCCAUUCUAAGAGUAUAUUUCCAAGUAGCUGGCCAUAGAAUCCGACAAAGUAAACUUUACGGCACUGAAAAAAUCAUUGCCCUUUCCAAAUUUUUACUUGGUCUCUCCAAACGAAUAAAAAAAAACAAUUCUAAAAAUUGUUAAAUAUAAUCAGCAAGAUUCGUAGAAUUGAAAGAAUACAUAUAUCCUGUUUGUUGCCCAUUUUCCACUCUCAUUUUAGACAAAAUAGAGCCGUUACUUGUCCAUUCCACUAACAUUACUAUCCUUAUGUUAAUGCACAAACAGAUUUUCACACUCCAAUUCCCUUAAAAUCCUCAACAAUGAGCAAAAAUUAUGGGAGGUGGAAAAGUCAAAAAUAGUGGGCUCUUGUAUGAAAUGGGGGCAUUUCGGGAAAGUAAAAUAUUGCACUAGUCAAUUUCAAAUGGAUGUGAGCAUGUGGGACCCCAUGUUGGUAGGAAGAAUGCAUUUUUUUGGGUAAAAAUGGGAAACAAAUGGGGCUUUAAUGAUUCAGACGGGUAAAUACAAAUUAUUUGGGUAAAAAUGGGAAACAAACAGGGCUAUAUUUUGAUUACCCCAUUAACCUAUAUUUGAAAUAUAACUUUCAUGAUGUUCAUGUCAAUUUUGUGUGCUUUUGUGUAGGUCCACUAGCUUUUGAUGAUGUAGAUUUUGAUGGAAGCUUACCAUCUAUUCACCAAAAUCCAUAUUCAUGGACCAAGGUCAAAAACAUAUCUCGCUCCAUGAUUAAAGUCAUGUACAUAUCUCAUCUACAGCUCUCUAAGUUUAGCACUGACUAAUUUAGCGUUAUGAUUUGCAGGUUGCCAAUAUUAUAUUUAUUGAUUGGCCUGUUGGCACUGGAUUUUCCUAUGCAAACACAUCGAAAGGUUACUCUUCUUCAGACACCAAAUCAGCAAAAGACAACUAUACAUUUCUUAGAAAGGUAAGUUGAUAUUGUUAAUCAUAAGUCAUAUUUGUAAGUAGCUAUUGAAGACAUUAGAAUUUUAAGUUAUUAGGCUUCUCCAUUUCACCUAUUAAAAAGUUGCUUAUAUACAAUUCACACUCAAAAGUAAUGUAUGAGGCUAGAACUUUCGAUGUAUUUGUAAACCCAUAAGCUAGGCCUCUCGCUAGCGAUGCAGGAUUUAAAAAUAGUCGCUAUACCAUCCACAUGUGUUUUCGGGUUAGUGAUCUAACAAAAUAUUGAAAAUGCAGUGGUUGUCGAAUCACCCUAUGUUUAUGAAAAAUCGUUUAUAUAUUGCCGGGGACUCUUAUGGUGGCAAACUGGUUCCCAUGGUUGCCUUGGAAAUAUUAAAAGGUAAGUAUGUAAAUAAGAAAUAUAAAACUUGGUUUUAUUCGAAUUUUUUUCUUAAUUAGCUAUGCUUGAUUAAGUUGUAAGUGUUGCUGGUAAUGCAGGCAAUGAAGCAGGGUUCCACCCACGAAUAUUUCUCCAAGUAUUAAUUCACUAUUUAUAUGAUAACUCUUUUUUAUUUUCAAAUAUUGUAACUUAUAUCAUGUUAAUGAGAGAGUGCUUUCAAAAUUGAAAUAGGGAUAUAUUAUUGGGAAUGGAGUAACAGAUCCAAACAUUGAUUACAAUGAACGAAUUCCAUAUGCUCACCGAAUGGCUCUUAUACCAGAUGAAUAUUUUGAGGUAGUAAUAUUCCUAAAUCGAUUAUUUUGAUGAUAAAAUUAAUCAUACCCAAAACUUAUCAGUGAGUCUACUCUUAAUUUUUUUAUAACUAAACAUUUCCCUUAUUCAUGUAACUUGAUACAAUUUUAGUCAGCAAAAAUUAGCUGUGAUGGGAAAUAUUACAAUCCUGAUCCAAAAAAUCUACAAUGUCUUUAUGCUCUUAGACCGAUCCAAGAGGUAACAUUUGCAUCUUAUUAUAUUUUAUAUUUUUGAAAGUUAGUAUAGCAUAAACACUCAUGAAAUGAUCAAAUAUUGCAGAGUAUAAAAAAUGUAAAUGGAGGACAUAUUCUGGAACCAAAAUGUAAAAUUAUAGCACCAAAACCAGAUGAAUUGGGAUGGGAUCAAACACUUGUCGAAGAUGAUUCCAUUGACCACCUCUUCCUUCCAUCCAAAAUAGAUGGAUUGUGGUGCCGCGUAAAUUUCGGCCUCUACUUAUAUAUCUCAUGGGAUGCUCUCCUAGAGUUACCAGGGUUUCUCAAGACAUAAUUUCUUUUGUGCAGCCUCAAACUUACGCAACGUCAUAUAUUUGGGCAAAUGAUCCAAUCGUCCAAGAAGCUCUUCAUAUUAAAAAGGUACUUCUGAUACAAAAUUGUUAAAAAUCCAUUGCACUUUAUAAUGGUUAAUCAUUGAUUUUGAUUGCUAGGGAACAAUAACAGAUUGGACGAGAUGCAAUCACAGCUUAUCCUAUGAACAUAAUAUAGAAAGUGUUGUUCAAUAUCAUAAAAUCCUUAGCAGGAAAGGAUAUGAAGCUUUGGUAUAUAGGUAGUCAUAUUCAUUGUUUUUUCUUUUUAACUGAGCGACUUAAUUUGUUCUGAGUUUAUUCUAGUCUAUCAACUGAGAUAUAGUUGUUUCACAAGUCAUGGCAAAAGUAUUAAUCGAAAAACCUAACUCUACAAAUUUGUAAAUUUGAUUUAAUAUUUUUCAAUUGUUUGUGUUCUUUCCAGUGGUGAUCAUGACAUGGGUGUACCUUAUAUGGGUACUUUAAAAUGGAUUCGUGGUCUCAAUCUGACCAUAGAUGAUGAGUGGAGACCUUGGAAUGUUAACGGCCAAGUUGCAGG
Molecule: long non-coding RNA, 40916 nt
Filed under: Olea europaea (common olive)
Lineage: Eukaryota; Viridiplantae; Streptophyta; Magnoliopsida; Lamiales; Oleaceae
Description: long non-coding RNA (OEUR_LNC007517)
Source: RNAcentral